UGCGCCGGACGACGUCACGGGCGGUUAAGCGCGCGUUCCUCGUAAUGAAUAGGUCAAGAGUUCGAUUCUCUUAGGCGGCUCCA
RNAcentral lists this transfer RNA (83 nucleotides) under Demequina lutea. RNAcentral's name for it is "tRNA-OTHER". Lineage: Bacteria; Bacillati; Actinomycetota; Actinomycetes; Micrococcales; Demequinaceae. The record is from RNAcentral.